Molecule: long non-coding RNA, 1300 nt
Organism: Lolium rigidum
Lineage: Eukaryota; Viridiplantae; Streptophyta; Magnoliopsida; Poales; Poaceae
Exons: 4
Source: RefSeq, a predicted model, not a curated record
UGCAGAUGGAGCCGUCCAGCGGAGUCGCCGGCACCGGAACGUCGACCACCCCAGGUGCUUCUCGAGGCAGCCGGAGGAGUGCUGCUGAUGGUCAAUAAAUGUUCAGAGUGUUGUGUUGCAACACGAACCAAUCUUUUUCAUGUGUAAUUGAUCAAAGUGGGUUUGUGAUCACAAUGAUGGCUUGAUGACUGAAUCUGGUUGAUGGAUUCAUGUGAUGAUGAUUCUUUCGCGACUGCGUCUCCUUCAGAUGUUAUAAUAAUCAAGCUAGGCAUGUGUUGUUCCAGGAUUUGAUUGCAUGAGCUUUUCAUGCCGUGCACUAUUGGUUGUCAUUCGUUUUUGAGCUGUGAUGACUUCCUCUCUAGUUUAUUUAAGAUGUUUCAUGGAGUGUCUAUUUCGUUAGGCUCGUGAGUUGCUUAUUGCUGAAUGAAAAGGCGGGAACCUUAGCAUGCAUGUUCACUCAUGCACAUACAGAAACUUGCUGUCAUUUUUGUAUACCUGGUUUCCAUUUAGAGCUGGUCAUCAUGUUUUAAUUCUUCUUGAGGAGGAGUAGAUGAUGGAUCCUGCAGCUGGGUGCAUCUUGCAGCUGCUUUUCUACCUCCUUAACUCUGUGUUUAAUAUGGUUUAUUAGCUGGAGUAAUCUUUUUGUUUUGUAAAUAAUAAAUCUGAUGGUCUAGAGCUGAGCAGCAUCAUGUGUUUGUUAAACCCAGCCAGUGUUGUGGGUGGGUACUAGGUAGCAUCGUGCUCGGAACAGUGAAGAAGAUCCCGGACCAAUACGUGGAGAUAAUCAGCCAGCGCAUCUGAUAAAACCUAGUAAUAUUUGAGAGAUAUAUAACUGAAGGUUCUGGAGUUGUUUCCGUCUGCCCAUUGUCCUUGUCUGAGUCGGCGACAGGCCAUGAGACGAAGAUCUGAUGCACAUCCAUGGUGGCUCUUGCCGAUUCGACUAUCUUCAGGUGCUCUGGUGGUUGUGAAAAACGAUAUGCGGUCUCUGUGACUUGCCUCCUUCCUCAUGGUCUCCCUUGACGUCCUAGGCGCCCGGUGAGACAUCAAGUUCUCCCUGAACCCUUAGACUGAACAUGGACUCUCUGCGCUAGUGGAUGUUUUUUUUUUUAUCUUGAGCAUGAAUUGGUUCUCGGCCUAGUGUAUGAGCUUCAGUUUGUUAUUCCACUUCUAGUGCAUGGAUUUGUUCUAGGUUAAAUGCAAGAGUUGGUUCAGAUUGGGUGGAUGGUAGUUCAAAUAGCCUUGUAAAUCUUUUAUGUGUGUCUGGCCUAUAGCCACUUUACAAAAUGACAAGGAUUUUGAU